CGGAGCUGCUACAGUGAACAUGGAGACUGCUCAGUCUCACCCAAUUUUUCUGGCUCUUCAGGAGCUGUUUAAAAGAAAAAGGCUUAGGAUAAAAAGAAACACUAUAGAGAGAUUUCUUAGUGAGUGCGAUUGCCAUUGCACCUUGGCUCGCUCUCUGGGAAUCUCGAGGUGGACAGCUAAGAAAAGCUGGGAAAGAUUUAAAUUUUGCUUGGGAACAAGGAACCUUAAAGGGACAGGCUGCGUUAGAAAUGCUACAGGAGGAAUGAUCUGAAAAGGCUGAGAGUGAGGUGGGGGAGGACUCUAAGGAAAACAAGAACAAGAAAAGAAUUUCUGCUUUUAGUGGCCAGACCUUCAACUUUUGCUCACAGAAAGAGAGUGCUCAUUAAGAGAAGUUCUUUCAGGGAGCCUGCCUUAUCUGUUGGUUUUAUUCCAAGAGAGGAGUCAGUCUCCAGCAUUAAGUUAUUUUUCUCGUUAGUCAUCAUUAACAUGGAGAGUGCCUUUGAUCCUAUCCCCACAGCAGCCAGUUCCUGCCCCUGUGGUCAAAAUGCCCCAGGUUGGGGGACAGAGAAGCCCCUCGGACUACAAAACUGCCAACAGCCAAAGGACGAGAUAAAAAUAAUAAGGACUUGAAGAUCCGAUCCUUCUCCUGAUUUAGUAGCUCUGUUCCAAGAACCAGGGGCCAUAAAACCUUUUGGCCCUUAUCUCCUGGAGCCAUAAAACAGGGACAUAUUGGGGUAAGAUGGGCUAGAAAAGGCCUCGAUGAUUUGGGCUAGCAUGAGUAAAACUUGUAAUAAAAAAGAGACAAGGUAAUGGU
RNAcentral lists this long non-coding RNA (814 nucleotides) under Rattus norvegicus (Norway rat). RNAcentral describes it as "long non-coding RNA NONRATT022837". Lineage: Eukaryota; Metazoa; Chordata; Mammalia; Rodentia; Muridae. The record is from RNAcentral.